Molecule: ribosomal RNA, 1123 nt
Filed under: Arthrospira sp. S3
Lineage: Bacteria; Bacillati; Cyanobacteriota; Cyanophyceae; Oscillatoriales; Microcoleaceae
Description: bacterial SSU rRNA
Rfam family: Bacterial small subunit ribosomal RNA
Source: RNAcentral
UCCGGAAUGCGACGCUACCAUGCAGUCGAGCGGGCUCUUCGGACUAGUGGCGGACGGGUGAGUAACACGUGAGAAUCUGGCUCCCGGUCGGGGACAACAGAGGGAAACUUCUGCUAAUCCCGGAUGAGCCGAAAGGUAAAAGAUUUAUCGCCGGGAGAUGAGCUCGCGUCUGAUUAGCUAGUUGGUGAGGUAAAGGCUCACCAAGGCGACGAUCAGUAUCUGGUCUGACAGGAUGAUCAGCCACACUGGGACUGAGACACGGCCCAUACUCCUACGGGAGGCAGCAGUGGGGAAUUUUCCGCAAUGGGCGCAAGCCUGACGGAGCAAGACCGCGUGGGGGAGGAAGGCUCUUGGGUUGUAAACCCCUUUUCUCAAGGAAGAACACAUUGACGGUACUUGAGGAAUAAGCCUCGGCUAACUCCGUGCCACCAGCCGCGGUAAUACGGAGGAGGCAAGCGUUAUCCGGAAUGAUUGGGCGUAAAGCGUCCGUAGGUGGCUGUUCAAGUCUGCUGUCAAAUACAGUGGCUUAACUACUGAAAGGCAGUGGACACUGAACAGCUAGAGUACGGUAGGGGCAGAGGGAAUUCCCGGUGUAGCGGUGAAAUGCGUAGAUAUCGGGAAAAACACCGGUGGCGAAAACGCUCUGCUGGGCCGUAACUGACACUGAGGGACAAAAAGCUAGGGGAGCGAAUGGGAUUAGAUACCCCAGUAGUCCUAUCCGUAAACGAUGGAAACUAGGUGUAGCCUGUAUCGACCCGGGCUGUGCCCAAUCUAACGCGUUAAGUUUCCCGCCUGGGGAGUACGCACGCGAGUGUGAACUCAAAGGAAUUGACUGGGGGCCGCGCAAGCGGUGGCAGUAUGUGGUUUAAUUCUAUGCAUCGCGAAGAACCUUACCCAGGGCUUGUCAUUGUCGGAUUCUUGCUGAUAUGCCGACAGCGCCUUCAGGAAGUCGCACUACAGGAGAGUGCAUGGACUGUCGUGCAGCUCCGUGUCUCGAAAUGCUGGAGUUAGUACCACGCACUGAACGGCAACCCCUCGUCCAUAGUGGCCAAUCAUUCAUGUUGGCACCUUUACGAAGACUGCCGUGUACAGAACCGGACGAGGGUAGACAUUACGCCAAGUU